Mastomys coucha (southern multimammate mouse) is the source of this 206-nucleotide long non-coding RNA. RefSeq lists it as uncharacterized. The record is from RefSeq and is a predicted model, not a curated record. The transcript has 2 exons. NCBI's taxonomy places the organism in Eukaryota, Metazoa, Chordata, Mammalia, Rodentia, Muridae.
UGCUUGUGUGCUGUCCCUGCCUGCCUGGCUACUGUAGGUUCCUGUGUUUCAGUGCCUGAGUCCAUAAACUCCACAAGGAAUAUAAGUGUUUUGCUUACACAUGUGCAUGGGUACCACCUGUAUGCUACUGGACUUAUAAACAGCUGUGUUGGUCCUGCGGACUGAACCUAGGUCCUUUGCAAGAACACGAACUCCUAACUGCCAAA